Molecule: long non-coding RNA, 1137 nt
Organism: Oncorhynchus tshawytscha (Chinook salmon)
Lineage: Eukaryota; Metazoa; Chordata; Actinopteri; Salmoniformes; Salmonidae
Source: Ensembl
UUUUAUUUGCAUUUGUUGUUAUGAGAUAUGGCAAAAACAUUUGGCAUUGAAUGGGGAAACAUAAUCCAUCAAAUUAUAAACAUAUUGAUGUUACAAAAAUGGACUAAUCUGGGCACUGGUUUGUCUCUUAACAAAUCGCUGUGUCACAAAUCUCGACUGGGUCGUGCCAUGGGUAUCAGCCCCAUGCCUGAUGAUGUUCCUGCUGAUUGUGAUGAAUGUUAUCUGCUCUUCCAAGAAUGCUGGGCCAUUAUGGGAGGCCAUUAUGGGAGGCGUAACCUACGAGCGGCGGUAAUAAACAGAAUCUCUCUCGGCUGUGCGGAGGUAUACAGUCUGGCACUCAGGCCAACAGCACACACAUCGCCUCACGCCUCACAGUUGCCCCAGAGACACUGUUUGGCUGUUCACUCAUUUGUUUAUGGGCUUUUGAUCGAUGCGUCCAUCCAGAUCCUCUUAAUCAGUUUCUGAUCUGGUUUCUCCCUGGCUCUCUCCAAGAAGACAAUCACAUUCAGAGAUUCAGAGUGUUUAAUAGUCACGGGUUCAGGGGUUUCAGGUGUGAUUGCAGGCUACAGUGAAAAUCUUCAGCUCCACAUUAGUCAUUAGUCAGUUAUUCAGGCUCCACAUUAGUCAGUUACAGAGACCAGGAGCAGAGCUGUCUGUUGGUGUUGGGUAAAGGCCCAGUACAGAGACCAGGAGCAGAGCUGUCUGUUGGUGUUGGGUAAAGGCCCAGUACAGAGAACAGGAGCAGAGCUGUCUGUUGGUGUUGGGUAAAGGCCCAUUACAGAGAACAGGAGCAGAGCUGUCUGUUGGUGUUGGUGUUGGGUAAAGGCCCAGUUACAGAGAACACGAGCAGAGCUGUCUGUUGGUGUUGGGUAAAGGCCCAGUUACAGAGAACACGAGCAGUGCUGUCUGUUGGUGUUGGGUAAAGGCUGUUAAAUAAAGGUUAAAUAAAAGCAAUUUAAAAAAAUAAAUUUAAAAGCCCAGUACAGAGGAGAUCCAGCUCAUAAUCAACCCUCUCCAGAGACUCAGAGUCCAGCAUAAUAUGUUUAAAAGUAUUGCUUGGUUGUAAGUACAGACGAUGCUAAAGGGUAUGUGUACAGUGUGACCUGUUUGGCCAUGCCACCAGCCCAGCGCCUCAUC